CUCAGGCUAGACUAAUGUCCAUCCUAUGGGA
Molecule: non-coding RNA, 31 nt
Filed under: Rattus norvegicus (Norway rat)
Lineage: Eukaryota; Metazoa; Chordata; Mammalia; Rodentia; Muridae
Source: RNAcentral